Molecule: ribosomal RNA, 478 nt
Filed under: uncultured bacterium
Lineage: Bacteria
Description: partial 16S ribosomal RNA
Rfam family: Bacterial small subunit ribosomal RNA
Source: RNAcentral
GAUGAACGCUGGCGGCGUGCUUAACACAUGCAAGUCGAACGGGAAACCUUUUAAUGAAGCUUCGGCAGAUUUCGCUGGUUUCUAGUGGCGGACGGGUGAGUAACGCGUGGGUAACCUGCCUUAUACAGGGGGAUAACAGUCAGAAAUGACUGCUAAUACCGCAUAAGCGCACAGGACCGCAUGGUCCGGUGUGAAAAACUCCGGUGGUAUAAGAUGGACCCGCGUUGGAUUAGCUUGUUGGUGGGGUAACGGCUCACCAAGGCGACGAUCCAUAGCCGGCCUGAGAGGGUGAACGGCCACAUUGGGACUGAGACACGGCCCAGACUCCUACGGGAGGCAGCAGUGGGGAAUAUUGCACAAUGGGGGAAACCCUGAUGCAGCGACGCCGCGUGAAGGAAGAAGUAUCUCGGUAUGUAAACUUCUAUCAGCAGGGAAGAUAGUGACGGUACCUGAAUAAGAAGCCCCGGCUAACUACGUG